Molecule: transfer RNA, 43 nt
Filed under: Vitis riparia (riverbank grape)
Lineage: Eukaryota; Viridiplantae; Streptophyta; Magnoliopsida; Vitales; Vitaceae
Also listed under: 1 other name
Description: partial tRNA-His
Source: RNAcentral
GGCGGAUGUAGCCAAGUGGAUCAAGGCAGUGGAUUNGUGNAUC